This 538-nucleotide long non-coding RNA is filed under the name Setaria viridis. Its description in RNAcentral is "long non-coding RNA (SVIR_LNC000033)". The record is from RNAcentral. Lineage: Eukaryota; Viridiplantae; Streptophyta; Magnoliopsida; Poales; Poaceae.
GGGUUUCAUACUAGAUCAACCACAGUUGCACAUCUUGAUAGUACGAUCUAGUUUAAGUUUGAUACAAAAGUAGUGAAAGUCAUAUAUUAAGGUUUUAAAUUGCUUAAUUCACCCCUCCCCUCUUAGACUAUGAGCACCGAUUUCUUACAUUCUCGAAUGUGUGGCUCAUGGUAAUGAAACAUCAACAACGUAUUCUUUCCGGUGGACAAAACAAACCAAGUUGUUUAAGGCCAAAUCUACAUCGAUUUGAUUAGGCUUGCCACUGGGGAAGGCAUGUGUAGAACAUUAUAUACCAUUAGAAAUGGGGAGAGUAGAGUAUGGGGAGGGUACAAUUUAUCUAUUGGAUAUGUAUAUAUAUGUAGCACAAAGUUAAUUGUCCAUUGGAUAUGGGUGGGAUUGGGGAAGGCAAGAAGUGGAUAAUAAUUAUUUGAAUUUGGGUGCGAGGUGUACACACGGUGGCAGACUUACAUUUGAUACUUCCUAGGAGAAGUGUAAUAUCUCCCUUUUCUUUGACUUACAUUUGAUGCUUCCUAGGAGA